Molecule: long non-coding RNA, 459 nt
Filed under: Salmo salar (Atlantic salmon)
Lineage: Eukaryota; Metazoa; Chordata; Actinopteri; Salmoniformes; Salmonidae
Description: lncRNA (ENSSSAG00000093081.1)
Source: RNAcentral
GUGGUGUGUAUAGAGGUGUGGUGUGUAUAGUGUAUAUAGAGGUGGUGUGUGAAUAGAGGUGUGGUGUAUAUAGAGGUGUGGUGUGUAUAGAGGUGGUGUAUAUAGAGGUCGUGUGUAUAUAGAGGUGUGGUGUGUAUAGUGUGAAUAGAGGUGGUGUAUAUAGAGGUGGUGUGUAUAUAGAGGUGUGGUGUGUAUAGUGUGUAUAGAGGUGGUGUGUAUAUAGAGGUGUGGUGUAUAUAGUGUGUAUAGAGGUGGUGUAUAUAGAGGUGGUGUGUAUAUAGAGGUGUGGUGUGUAUAGUGUGUAUAGAGGUGGUGUGUAUAUAGAGGUGUGGUGUAUAUAGAGGUGGUGUAUAUAGAGGUGGUGGUGUAUAUAGAGGUGUGGUGUAUAUAGAGGUGGUGUAUAUAGAGGUGGUGUAUAUAGAGGUGGUGUAUAUAGAGGUGGUGUAUAUAGAGGUGGUG